RNAcentral lists this ribosomal RNA (253 nucleotides) under uncultured bacterium. Its description in RNAcentral is "partial 16S ribosomal RNA". It matches the Rfam family "Bacterial small subunit ribosomal RNA", at positions 524 to 776 of the family's 1533-position model. The record is from RNAcentral.
UACGGAGGAUGCGAGCGUUAUCCGGAUUUAUUGGGCGUAAAGCGUGCGCAGGCGGACUGUCAAGUCAGCUGUGAAAGCUUACGGCUCAACCGUGGAAUUGCAGUUGAUACUGUUGGACUAGAGUAUACAUGAGGUGGGCGGAAUUUCUGGUGUAGCGGUGAAAUGCGUAGAUAUCGGAAAGAACUCCAAUGGCGAAGGCAGCUCACUGGGGUAUAACUGACACUGAUGGACGAAAGUGUGGGUAUCAAACAGG